CCUACGGGAGGCAGCAGUGGGGAAUAUUGGGCAAUGGAGGAAACUCUGACCCAGCGACGCCGCGUGCGGGAUGAAGGCCUUCGGGUUGUAAACCGCUUUCAGCAGGGAAGAAGCGAAAGUGACGGUACCUGCAGAAGAAGCACCGGCUAACUAUGUGCCAGCAGCCGCGGUAAUACAUAGGGUGCAAGCGUUGUCCGGAAUUAUUGGGCGUAAAGAGCUCGUAGGUGGUUCGUCACGUCGGAUGUGAAAAUCUGGGGCUUAACCCCAGACCUGCAUUCGAUACGGGCGAGCUUGAGUAUGGUAGGGGAGUCUGGAAUUCCUGGUGUAGCGGUGGAAUGCGCAGAUAUCAGGAGGAACACCAAUGGCGAAGGCAGGACUCUGGGCCAUUACUGACACUGAGGAGCGAAAGCGUGGGGAGCGAACAGGAUUAGAUACCCUGGUAGUCCACGCCGUAAACGGUGGGCACUAGUUGUGGGGACCUUCCACGGUCUCUGCGACGCAGCUACGCAUAAGUGCCCGCCGUCGGGAGGUACGAGUCGCGAAGAAGUUAAAACGUUAAAACGGUAAAGUUAGUACGGACGUGAGACGUGCCGAACGGACGACGACGAGGGAGGUAGG
RNAcentral lists this ribosomal RNA (618 nucleotides) under uncultured bacterium. RNAcentral describes it as "bacterial SSU rRNA". The stretch from base 1 to 521 matches the Rfam family "Bacterial small subunit ribosomal RNA", at positions 338 to 873 of the family's 1533-position model. The record is from RNAcentral.